GACGAACGCUGGCGGCGUGCUUAACACAUACAAGUCGAACGGAAAGGCCCUGCUUUUGUGGGGUGCUCGAGUGGCGAACGGGUGAGUAGCACGUGAGUAACCUGCCCUUGACUUUGGGAUAACUUCAGGAAACUGGGGCUAAUACCGGAUAGGAGCUCCUGCUGCAUGGUGGGGGUUGGAAAGUUUCGGCGGUUGGGGAUGGACUCGCGGCUUAUCAGCUUGUUGGUGGGGUAGUGGCUUACCAAGGCUUUGACGGGUAGCCGGCCUGAGAGGGUGACCGGCCACAUUGGGACUGAGAUACGGCCCAGACUCCUACGGGAGGCAGCAGUGGGGAAUAUUGCACAAUGGGCGGAAGCCUGAUGCAGCAACGCCGCGUGCGGGAUGACGGCCUUCGGGUUGUAAACCGCUUUCGCCUGUGACGAAGCGUGAGUGACGGUAAUGGGUAAAGAAGCACCGGCUAACUACGUG
RNAcentral lists this ribosomal RNA (468 nucleotides) under uncultured bacterium. Its description in RNAcentral is "partial 16S ribosomal RNA". It matches the Rfam family "Bacterial small subunit ribosomal RNA", at positions 28 to 507 of the family's 1533-position model. The record is from RNAcentral.